This 660-nucleotide ribosomal RNA is filed under the name uncultured bacterium. RNAcentral describes it as "bacterial SSU rRNA". It matches the Rfam family "Bacterial small subunit ribosomal RNA", at positions 94 to 788 of the family's 1533-position model. The record is from RNAcentral.
AGUGGCGGACGGGUGAGUAACGCGUGAGAAUCUGCCUUGGGGUCGGGGACAACCACUGGAAACGGUGGCUAAUACCGGAUAAGCCGAUUGGUGAAAGAUUUAUUGCCCGAAGAGGAGCUCGCGUCUGAUUAGCUAGUUGGUGAGGUAAGAGCUCACCAAGGCAGCGAUCAGUAGCUGGUCUGAGAGGACGAUCAGCCACACUGGGACUGAGACACGGCCCAGACUCCUACGGGAGGCAGCAGUGGGGAAUUUUCCGCAAUGGGCGAAAGCCUGACGGAGCAAGACCGCGUGAGGGAGGAAGGCUCUUGGGUUGUAAACCUCUUUUCUCAGGGAAGAAGCUCUGACGGUACCUGAGGAAUCAGCCUCGGCUAACUCCGUGCCAGCAGCCGCGGUAAUACGGAGGAAGCAAGCGUUAUCCGGAAUUAUUGGGCGUAAAGCGUCCGCAGGUGGCGAUUCAAGUCUGCUGUCAAAGCACGGGGCUUAACUCCGUAAAGGCAGUGGAAACUGAAUAGCUAGAGUGCCGUAGGGGUAGAGGGAAUUCCCGGUGUAGCGGUGAAAUGCGUAGAGAUCGGGAAGAACAUCGGUGGCGAAAGCGCUCUACUGGACGGCAACUGACACUCAGGGACGAAAGCUAGGGGAGCGAAUGGGAUUAGAUACCCC